ACAACCCUCUCAAGCCUUUCUGGCUAAGAUCAAGUGUAGUAUCUGUUCUAUUUAGUGUGAUAACUAAAUCUGCGUGCGCCGCACGUAUUCCUAUUAUCACAAAUAUUUUUGAAUUUCUCCUGUGGAUUCUGUGUGCUCGCACCAGACCCGGGAACUGGUGUCGCUGGCUUUACACUGCCGCUUGUUGAAGCUGAAUACAC
This is a small nuclear RNA of Rhizoclosmatium globosum, 200 nucleotides long. It matches the Rfam family "U2 spliceosomal RNA". From Rfam's summary of the family: U2 is a small nuclear RNA (snRNA) component of the spliceosome (involved in pre-mRNA splicing). Complementary binding between U2 snRNA (in an area lying towards the 5' end but 3' to hairpin I) and the branchpoint sequence (BPS) of the intron results the bulging out of an unpaired adenosine, on the BPS, which initiates a nucleophilic attack at the intronic 5' splice site, thus starting the first of two transesterification reactions that mediate splicing. NCBI's taxonomy places the organism in Eukaryota, Fungi, Chytridiomycota, Chytridiomycetes, Chytridiales, Chytriomycetaceae. The record is from Rfam.